RNAcentral lists this ribosomal RNA (550 nucleotides) under uncultured bacterium. RNAcentral's name for it is "bacterial SSU rRNA". It matches the Rfam family "Bacterial small subunit ribosomal RNA", at positions 355 to 896 of the family's 1533-position model. The record is from RNAcentral.
UAGGGAAUCUUCCACAAUGGGCGCAAGCCUGAUGGAGCAACACCGCGUGAGUGAAGAAGGGUUUCGGCUCGUAAAGCUCUGUUGUUGGAGAAGAACGUGCGUGAGAGUAACUGUUCACGCAGUGACGGUAUCCAACCAGAAAGUCACGGCUAACUACGUGCCAGCAGCCGCGGUAAUACGUAGGUGGCAAGCGUUAUCCGGAUUUAUUGGGCGUAAAGCGAGCGCAGGCGGUUGCUUAGGUCUGAUGUGAAAGCCUUCGGCUUAACCGAAGAAGUGCAUUGGAAACCGGGCGACUUGAGUGCAGAAGAGGACAGUGGAACUCCAUGUGUAGCGGUGAAAUGCGUAGAUAUAUGGAAGAACACCAGUGGCGAAGGCGGCUGUCUGGUCUGCAACUGACGCUGAGGCUCGAAAGCAUGGGUAGCGAACAGGAUUAGAUACCCUGGUAGUCCAUGCCGUAAACGAUGAGUGCUAGGUGUUGGAGGGUUUCCGCCCUUCAGUGCCGGAGCUAACGCAUUAAGCACUCCGCCUGGGGAGUACGACCGCAAGGUUG